CCUACGGGAGGCUGCAGUGAGGAAUAUUGGUCAAUGGACGAGAGCCUGAACCAGCCAAGUAGCGUGAAGGAUGACUGCCCUAUGGGUUGUAAACUUCUUUUAUAUGGGAAUAAAGUGUUCCACGUGUAGGAUUUUGUAUGUACCUUAUGAAUAAGGAUCGGCUAACUCCGUGCCAGCAGCCGCGGUAAUACGGAGGAUCCGAGCGUUUUCCGGAUUUAUUGGGUUUAAAGGGAGCGUAGGCGGGUUGUUAAGUCAGUUGUGAAAGUUUGCGGCUCAACCGUAAAAUUGCAGUUGAUACUGGCAGCCUUGAGUACAGUAGAGGUAGGCGGAAUUCGUGGUGUAGCGGUGAAAUGCUUAGAUAUCACGAAGAACUCCGAUUGCGAAGGCAGCCUGCUGGACUGUAACUGACACUGAGGCUCGAAAGUGUGGGUAUCAAACAGGAUUAGAUACCCGAGUAGUC
This 460-nucleotide ribosomal RNA is filed under the name uncultured bacterium. RNAcentral describes it as "partial 16S ribosomal RNA". It matches the Rfam family "Bacterial small subunit ribosomal RNA", at positions 338 to 795 of the family's 1533-position model. The record is from RNAcentral.